Long non-coding RNA from Thalassophryne amazonica, 195 nucleotides. RefSeq lists it as uncharacterized. The transcript is spliced from 2 exons. NCBI's taxonomy places the organism in Eukaryota, Metazoa, Chordata, Actinopteri, Batrachoidiformes, Batrachoididae. The record is from RefSeq and is a predicted model, not a curated record.
UGUGAUGACUUGACGGGCGGCAGCAGGCUGGCUAGCGACCUGACCCUGGACACAGAUUUGCUGCGCUUGGUGCUGGGCUCCUGAAGGAGGAAGAGGAAAACGGAGAUGAAUCGAGAUCAGAAACAUCCAGACUGUAUCUGCUGUACCAGCAUCCAGAGAGGACUCUUCAUGGAUACCAUUGUGGUCCACUUACUC